RNAcentral lists this ribosomal RNA (431 nucleotides) under uncultured bacterium. RNAcentral's name for it is "bacterial SSU rRNA". It matches the Rfam family "Bacterial small subunit ribosomal RNA", at positions 29 to 507 of the family's 1533-position model. The record is from RNAcentral.
AACGAACGCUGGCGGCAGGCCUAACACAUGCAAGUCGAGCGCCCCGCAAGGGGAGCGGCGGACGGGUGAGUAACGCGUGGGAACGUGCCCCUUUCUACGGAAUAGCCUCGGGAAACUGGGAGUAAUACCGUAUAAGCCCUACGGGGGAAAGAUUUAUCGGGAAGGGAUCGGCCCGCGUUGGAUUAGGUAGUUGGUGGGGUAAUGGCCUACCAAGCCGACGAUCCAUAGCUGGUUUGAGAGGAUGAUCAGCCACACUGGGACUGAGACACGGCCCAGACUCCUACGGGAGGCAGCAGUGGGGAAUCUUAGACAAUGGGCGCAAGCCUGAUCUAGCCAUGCCGCGUGAGCGAUGAAGGCCUUAGGGUUGUAAAGCUCUUUCAGUGGGGAAGAUAAUGACUGUACCCACAGAAGAAGCCCCGGCUAACUCCGUG